Molecule: RNA transcript, 1451 nt
Organism: Odontomachus brunneus
Lineage: Eukaryota; Metazoa; Arthropoda; Insecta; Hymenoptera; Formicidae
Gene name: type-1 angiotensin II receptor-associated protein
Exons: 7
Source: RefSeq, a predicted model, not a curated record
UAUAGCUUUUAAAGCGCUGAAGUAUUUUAUAUUUAGUUUCAUUAGAGAGAACGGAGUUCACAUAUAAAUCUUGGUUAAAAUAAUACAUUAUAUGUGUUUCAUGUACAUGCUUAAGUAGAUGAUUGUCAGGUUAGUGUCUAAUUUUAUGACAGUUGGUGGACAGAGUCAGAUGGCAGCAAAUGUAAAAGGUGCUGUUAUGAGUUGAUAUACGCAAUAUACGUGUGCCAUGUUGUCGAAUUAAAGUUGUUGGCGGAGAAAGAUUAGAUAUCAUUUGUCAACCAAAAAUAAAUUUCGUAGUCGCAUUUAAUUUAAUGAGCUAUUGCUUUAUUAUUAUUGAUAUUGUAGACACUCUCAUACAACCAAAAUGCCUAAUUUAUCCAAUUUAUCACAUUUUCCUUUGAAGGUCAUAUUCACGAUUCAUCUGAUACUUGUAACAUGGAGUAUUCAGGGAGGUUGGUGUCCCAAAUCUGUAAUGUUCUACAAUUUGUUAUUCUUUGUUUGUAUAUUAUGGGCUGUUCACAAUACAGAAUCAGAUGAACCACUCCAAUUUGCUCUUUUCAUAAAUGUGCUUUCUAUGUUCUUCGAUGUGAUCACUUUAUCAGUGUAUUAUCCAUCAAGUGGUGCAUUUAACACAUUUAGUGCAGCUUUUUCGAUCAUAAAUUUAAUUGUCCGCCCUAUCACAAGUAUAUAUCUGCUACGAAUAGGCCAAGGAAGAGGUGGUACUUUAGCUACAGUGUUUGCACCGAGUCCUGCCAUGGGUCAGUAAAUCACUGGAUACACAUCUACGCUUUGUAGUACACCAGUGCUUCUUCAAGAUAUGAUUUAUUAAUUGUCUAGGUUUCUGCGUACCCAGUUAUGUCUCAUCGAUGCUUUUGGCCUGAAUUUAUGUAGCAUGUUUUGGCCGGCAGGACUAUGAAGAAAUAUCUCAUCCUCUUCCACAGAACGCUGAUUUCGAUGGAGUCUAAGGUUGAAUAAGGCUUGUUUGAAGUAACGGUUCUAAAUAUCCGUACAAUAUACAUGUCUGUAACAUAAUAAUAGCAUUUUGUAAGAUUAUUUAUUAAUUACACGAAAUUUUAUAAUAUUACAUAUGGUAAAUGAGAGAUAAUAUUUUUAUUUAUCAGUGUGCAAUAUUUGUACUUUAGUUGAAUCUUGUUAUAUAUUUUAUAAAAAUUUUUGUACGUUACUGAGAAUUAUAUAUAAAAAUGUUAUAAGGGCAUAAGCUACUUUAAUCAACUGACAGCGAUGUUUGAAUCGUAUUGCUUCAGUUGUCUAUUUAGUCAUUUAGUCAAUUAAUAACUGAGCAUUAUGAUUCGAAUUACGAAUAAGUGUCCACAUAGCUCGCUGUGUAUGCGUACCUAACAUUAGUAAAAUAUUCAAAAUCUCUAUUCUGUACAAGUAUAUUUCCAUAUUGUCGACUUGUGAAUAAAAUAUUUUAUAGUAACUCACAUAUA